Long non-coding RNA from Rhincodon typus (whale shark), 841 nucleotides. RefSeq lists it as uncharacterized. The record is from RefSeq and is a predicted model, not a curated record. The transcript is spliced from 3 exons. NCBI's taxonomy places the organism in Eukaryota, Metazoa, Chordata, Chondrichthyes, Orectolobiformes, Rhincodontidae.
GAGAAAUAGAGGCUGAAAGCGAGGGAGGGAGGGAGAGAAUCCCAAAAGAAAGCCCAGGUCGGGAGGGGGAAGCGGUGUGAGGUUCCCGGGAGAAACAGAAAAGAGAGAAGAAAUCUCUUGGAAGAGGAGGGGGUAAAGAACGCCACACAAAGUGCUUGAGAGCCGGAUCAAUCCAACCUGACAAAAGAGAUCCCGAGGCUGUAAAUGCAAUUCGUUAGUUAACGGUGUCCCUGCAGGAUUUCACAUUCCCAGCUAAGGAAAGGGAAAUGGAUUCUACCUUCGUUCUCCUUCCAACUCUGCAAAACAUAGGAACAGGAGUAGACCAGAUAGCUCCUGGAACUGGUUCCACCCAUUCAAGAGAUCAUGUCUGAUCUGCAACUGAACUCUCUGUAUCUUUGCCCCAUAUCCCUUCAUGUAUUCGGUUAACCAAGGACUGUCAAAUUCAGAUUUAAAAUCAACAGUUCAUCAAACAUCAGUUGGUGUUUGUGGGACAGAGUUCCAAAUUUUUGCCACACUUUGUGUGUAAAAGUAUUGCCUAAUUUCACGUUUGACACUAAUUUUCAGAUAAUGUCUUCCAGUUGUGAACUUGCCAACCAGUGGAAAUACUAUCUUUUCCACUUAAUAUCUUGAUAACUUCUGCCAACCCAUCCAUUAACCUUUAAAUACAGCCCAUGUUUGUAUUAUCUCUCCUUGUGAUCUAAUACUUGGAUCCAGGCAUCAUUCUAAUAAAUCUAUGCUGCUCUUCAUCCUAAAAUGCAGUGUCCAGGACUGCUGACAGUAUUCCAGAUGUGGUUUAACAGUUGCAAUAUGACAUCUAUUCCUUACAUGUAUCAUCCCAUAA